CUGGAGGUAUCAGAAGUGCGAAUGCUGACAUAAGUAACGAUAAAGCGGGUGAAAAGCCCGCUCGCCGGAAGACCAAGGGUUCCUGUCCAACGUUAAUCGGGGCAGGGUGAGUCGACCCCUAAGGCGAGGCCGAAAGGCGUAGUCGAUGGGAAACGGGUUAAUAUUCCCGUACUUGGUGUUACUGCGAAGGGGGGACGGAGAAGGCUAUGUUGGCCGGGCGACGGUUGUCCCGGUUUAAGCGUGUAGGUGUGUGUUCCAGGUAAAUCCGGUUCACUUUAACACUGAGGCGUGACGACGAGGCACUACGGUGCUGAAGCAACAAAUGCCCUGCUUCCAGGAAAAGCCUCUAAGCAUCAGGUAACAUCAAAUCGUACCCCAAACCGACACAGGUGGUCAGGUAGAGAAUACCAAGGCGCUUGAGAGAACUCGGGUGAAGGAACUAGGCAAAAUGGUGCCGUAACUUCGGGAGAAGGCACGCUGACACGUAGGUGAAGUGAUUUACUCAUGGAGCUGAAGUCAGUCGAAGAUACCAGCUGGCUGCAACUGUUUAUUAAAAACACAGCACUGUGCAAACAUGAAAGUGGACGUAUACGGUGUGACGCCUGCCCGGUGCCGGAAGGUUAAUUGAUGGGGUCAGCGCAAGCGAAGCUCCUGAUCGAAGCCCCGGUAAACGGCGGCCGUAACUAUAACGGUCCUAAGGUAGCGAAAUUCCUUGUCGGGUAAGUUCCGACCUGCACGAAUGGCGUAAUGAUGGCCAGGCUGUCUCCACCCGAGACUCAGUGAAAUUGAACUCGCUGUGAAGAUGCAGUGUACCCGCGGCAAGACGGAAAGACCCCGUGAACCUUUACUAUAGCUUGACACUGAACAUUGAGCCUUGAUGUGUAGGAUAGGUGGGAGGCUUUGAAGUGUGGACGCCAGUCUGCAUGGAGCCGACCUUGAAAUACCACCCUUUAAUGUUUGAUGUUCUAACGUGGACCCGUAAUCCGGGUUGCGGACAGUGUCUGGUGGGUAGUUUGACUGGGGCGGUCUCCUCCUAAAGAGUAACGGAGGAGCACGAAGGUUGGCUAAUCCUGGUCGGACAUCAGGAGGUUAGUGCAAUGGCAUAAGCCAGCUUGACUGCGAGCGUGACGGCGCGAGCAGGUGCGAAAGCAGGUCAUAGUGAUCCGGUGGUUCUGAAUGGAAGGGCCAUCGCUCAACGGAUAAAAGGUACUCCGGGGAUAACAGGCUGAUACCGCCCAAGAGUUCAUAUCGACGGCGGUGUUUGGCACCUCGAUGUCGGCUCAUCACAUCCUGGGGCUGAAGUAGGUCCCAAGGGUAUGGCUGUUCGCCAUUUAAAGUGGUACGCGAGCUGGGUUUAGAACGUCGUGAGACAGUUCGGUCCCUAUCUGCCGUGGGCGCUGGAGAACUGAGGGGGGCUGCUCCUAGUACGAGAGGACCGGAGUGGACGCAUCACUGGUGUUCGGGUUGUCAUGCCAAUGGCACUGCCCGGUAGCUAAAUGCGGAAGAGAUAAGUGCUGAAAGCAUCUAAGCACGAAACUUGCCCCGAGAUGAGUUCUCCCUGAGACUUAG
RNAcentral lists this ribosomal RNA (1569 nucleotides) under Salmonella enterica subsp. enterica serovar Agona. RNAcentral's name for it is "partial 23S ribosomal RNA". It matches the Rfam family "Bacterial large subunit ribosomal RNA", at positions 1273 to 2824 of the family's 2925-position model. The record is from RNAcentral. Lineage: Bacteria; Pseudomonadati; Pseudomonadota; Gammaproteobacteria; Enterobacterales; Enterobacteriaceae.